GGCGGACGGGUGAGUAACAUUUAGGAAUCUGCCUAGUAGUGGGGGAUAGCUCGGGGAAACUCGAAUUAAUACCGCAUACGACCUACGGGUGAAAGGGGGCGCAAGCUCUUGCUAUUAGAUGAGCCUAAAUCAGAUUAGCUAGUUGGUGGGGUAAAGGCCCACCAAGGCGACGAUCUGUAACUGGUCUGAGAGGAUGAUCAGUCACACCGGAACUGAGACACGGUCCGGACUCCUACGGGAGGCAGCAGUGGGGAAUAUUGGACAAUGGGGGCAACCCUGAUCCAGCCAUGCCGCGUGUGUGAAGAAGGCCUUUUGGUUGUAAAGCACUUUAAGCAGGGAGGAGAGGCUAAUGGUUAAUACCCAUUAGAUUAGACGUUACCUGCAGAAUAAGCACCGGCUAACUCUGUGCCAGCAGCCGCGGUAAUACAGAGGGUGCGAGCGUUAAUCGGAAUUACUGGGCGUAAAGCGAGUGUAGGUGGCUCAUUAAGUCACAUGUGAAAUCCCCGGGCUUAACCUGGGAACUGCAUGUGAUACUGGUGGUGCUAGAAUAUGUGAGAGGGAAGUAGAAUUCCAGGUGUAGCGGUGAAAUGCGUAGAGAUCUGGAGGAAUACCGAUGGCGAAGGCAGCUUCCUGGCAUAAUAUUGACACUGAGAUUCGAAAGCGUGGGUAGCAAACAGGAUUAGAUACCCUGGUAGUCCACGCCGUAAACGAUGUCUACUAGCCGUUGGGGUCCUUGAGACUUUAGUGGCGCAGUUAACGCGAUAAGUAGACCGCCUGGGGAGUACGGCCGCAAGGUUAAAACUCAAAUGAAUUGACGGGGGCCCGCACAAGCGGUGGAGCAUGUGGUUUAAUUCGAUGCAACGCGAAGAACCUUACCUGGUCUUGACAUAGUGAGAAUCCUGCAGAGAUGCGGGAGUGCCUUCGGGAAUUCACAUACAGGUGCUGCAUGGCUGUCGUCAGCUCGUGUCGUGAGAUGUUGGGUUAAGUCCCGCAACGAGCGCAACCCUUUUCCUUAUUUGCCAGCGGGUUAAGCCGGGAACUUUAAGGAUACUGCCAGUGACAAACUGGAGGAAGGCGGGGACGACGUCAAGUCAUCAUGGCCCUUACGACCAGGGCUACACACGUGCUACAAUGGUAGGUACAGAGGGUUGCUACACAGCGAUGUGAUGCUAAUCUCAAAAAGCCUAUCGUAGUCCGGAUUGGAGUCUGCAACUCGACUCCAUGAAGUCGGAAUCGCUAGUAAUCGCAGAUCAGAAUGCUGCGGUGAAUACGUUCCCGGGCCUUG
Molecule: ribosomal RNA, 1285 nt
Filed under: uncultured bacterium
Lineage: Bacteria
Description: bacterial SSU rRNA
Rfam family: Bacterial small subunit ribosomal RNA
Source: RNAcentral